This 836-nucleotide ribosomal RNA is filed under the name uncultured bacterium. Its description in RNAcentral is "bacterial SSU rRNA". It matches the Rfam family "Bacterial small subunit ribosomal RNA", at positions 667 to 1501 of the family's 1533-position model. The record is from RNAcentral.
UUCCUAGUGUAGCGGUGAAAUGCGUAGAUAUUAGGAAGAACACCAGUGGCGAAGGCGCUCUACUGGGCCAUUACUGACGCUGAUGGACGAAAGCUAGGGGAGCGAAAGGGAUUAGAUACCCCUGUAGUCCUAGCUGUAAACGAUGGACACUAGGUGUUGGCCGUAUCGACCCGGUCAGUAUCGAAGCAAACGCGUUAAGUGUCCCGCCUGGGGAGUACGCACGCAAGUGUGAAACUCAAAGGAAUUGACGGGGGCCCGCACAAGCGGUGGAGUAUGUGGUUUAAUUCGAUGCAACGCGAAGAACCUUACCAGGGAUUGACAUCCUACGAACUUUCGUGAAAGCGAUUGGUGCCUUCGGGAACGUAGAGACAGGUGGUGCAUGGCUGUCGUCAGCUCGUGUCGUGAGAUGUUGGGUUAAGUCCCGCAACGAGCGCAACCCUCGUCCUUAGUUGCCAUCAUUAAGUUGGGCACUUUAAGGAGACUGCCGGUGACAAACCGGAGGAAGGUGGGGAUGACGUCAAGUCAUCAUGCCCCUUACAUCCUGGGCUACACACGUACUACAAUGCAACGGACAAAGGGCAGCCAACUAGCGAUAGUGAGCUAAUCCCAUAAACCGUUGCUCAGUUCAGAUUGCAGGCUGCAACUCGCCUGCAUGAAGGCGGAAUCGCUAGUAAUCGCAGGUCAGCAUACUGCGGUGAAUACGUUCCCGGGCCUUGUACACACCGCCCGUCACACCAUGGAAGUUGGCCACGCCCGAAGUCGUUACCCCAACCGUUUACGGAGGGGGACGCCGAAGGCAGGGCUGAUGACUGGGGUGAAGUCGUAACAAGGUAACC